RNAcentral lists this ribosomal RNA (477 nucleotides) under uncultured bacterium. RNAcentral describes it as "partial 16S ribosomal RNA". It matches the Rfam family "Bacterial small subunit ribosomal RNA", at positions 28 to 507 of the family's 1533-position model. The record is from RNAcentral.
GAUUAACGCUGGCGGCGUGCAUAACACAUGCAAGUCGAACGAUGAAACUUAAAUGAUUUCUUCGGAAUGAACUUAAGUGGAUUAGUGGCGGACGGGUGAGUAACGCGUGAGUAACCUGCCUUACACAAGGGGAUAGCCGUUGGAAACGACGAAUAAUACCCUAUGAAACUAUCACUUCGCAUGAAGCGAUAGUCAAAGUGUUAGCGGUGUAAGAUGGACUUGCGUCUGAUUAGCUAGUUGGUGAGAAAAAAGCCCACCAAGGCAACGAUCAGUAGCCGGCUUGAGAGAGUGUACGGCCACAUUGAGACUGAGACACGGCCCAGACUCCUACGGGAGGCAGCAGUGGGGAAUUUUGCACAAUGGGGGAAACCCUGAUGCAGCGACGCCGCGUGAUUUAGAAGGCCUUCAGGUUGUAAAAAUCUUUUGUAUAGGAAGAAAAUGACAGUACUAUACGAAUAAGGUCCGGCUAAUUACGUG